This 1290-nucleotide long non-coding RNA is filed under the name Apteryx rowi (Okarito brown kiwi). RNAcentral describes it as "lncRNA (ENSARWG00000002845.1)". Lineage: Eukaryota; Metazoa; Chordata; Aves; Apterygiformes; Apterygidae. The record is from RNAcentral.
GAUGCGGCAGCUGUUGCUGUAUAUUACCCCGGCGAGACCGAGGCAGACCGGAGGCGAGGCGGCCGCGUUGGAGCCCUAGCAAGCGUCCCUCGAGGUGACAUGGCAGCGGGUCCCUGGGAGGUGCUGGAGACAGACUUGGGACGCCCUGAGGCCACCGAGGAGCUGCCCGGGCAGGCAGGGAGCGCUCAGAGGCAGCCGAGGAAGGACGUGAGAAAAGAUGCCGAUGUGCUGGGGAGCAGCGACAGAGCGAAUAGCAGGUCCCAUGGCCUAGAGAAGGAGAGGUCCCGACUUGGUGUCUCCGAGGAGGAUCAAGACGAGCGGGAGUUGAGCAUGCCAGAACCAGCGCCCCUCGGCGCAGACAAGAAAGCGGUGGAGAAGAAGCGUGCAGAGAAGGUGGGAGCAAAAGGCAGCACCUCCGUGCCCCCAGUCCCCAAGAGCCUCCCUGUGAAGAGGACAGUGGAGCCCCAAAGCCUUGACCCCAUGGAGGAGCCGCUCAUCUGGGAAGGGCUCACCCUCAACAAAUGCAUCCUCGUGGCCUCCUUCGUCGCCCUGCUCAGCGUCAGCUUCCAGGUGCUCCAAGCGCCUUGCUCUAGGGAAGGAAUUAGCAGUGACAGACAGGCCCCUCCACCUCCACCCCUUCACGAGGUCAUUGACACCAAGGAGGACAUCCCAGAAGUGGUGGCUGCCCCACCAGUCCAACCCGAGAGCAGCCUGUUCGAGGACAGUGAUGGUGACGAUGACAGGGAAGAUGACAGUGAAGCUGACAGCAACCUGGCCGAGCCGUGGAUCUUCAAGAAAUGGUUUGGCCGCUUGGAGCAAGAGGACGAAGAGGAAGAACCCGAAGCCGAACCUGAGGAGCCACCAGCCAAGGUCGAGGUGAGGAAGAGCCGAGAGAAGCCCAGAGGCCCGGAGAGGAAAGAAGAGAAGCCCAGGGAAAGUCGUGCAGCCCAGGUGGAGAAGAGCAGCCGGAAGGAGACGCGACCCAAGGACAGAGCCCCUGAGGACAAGGCUGGCAGAACCCCAAGGGCACCCAAGGAGCCGGAGCAGCAGCCCUACAAGAAGCGGGGCCGGGAGGGCAAGGAGGGCAGGCGAGAAGGGAGGGAGCGUGACGAGCACAAGAAAGACGAGUGGAAGAGCCGCCCCGCCAAGGCUGACCGCGAGGACAACCGGAAGCGGGACUGGAGGCAGCAGCGAGGAGAGCAGAAGGGCAAGAAGCCCUGGGAGCAUCACACGUCUGCCCCGGGGAAGGACAGCACUGCCAGGCCCAGGGAAGGCAAGAAGCGUGACUGA